GACGAACGCUGGCGGCGUGCUUAACACAUGCAAGUCGAACGGUGACCCAGGGCUUGCCCUGGUGAUCAGUGGCGAACGGUGAGUAACACGUGGGCAACCUGCCCCUGACUUCGGGAUAACUCCUCGAAAGAGGAGCUAAUACCGGAUACGACCACUUCGGACAUCCGAUGGUGGUGGAAAGUUUUUCGGUCAGGGAUGGGCCCGCGGCCUAUCAGCUAGUUGGUGGGGUAAUGGCCUACCAAGGCGACGACGGGUAGCCGGCCUGAGAGGGCGACCGGCCACACUGGGACUGAGACACGGCCCAGACUCCUACGGGAGGCAGCAGUGGGGAAUAUUGCGCAAUGGGCGAAAGCCUGACGCAGCGACGCCGCGUGAGGGAUGAAGGCCUCGGUUGUAACCUACGUUCAGCAGGACGAAGCGAAAGUGACGGUACCUGCAGAAGAAGACACCGGCUAACUACGUGCCAG
This 467-nucleotide ribosomal RNA is filed under the name uncultured bacterium. RNAcentral describes it as "bacterial SSU rRNA". It matches the Rfam family "Bacterial small subunit ribosomal RNA", at positions 28 to 511 of the family's 1533-position model. The record is from RNAcentral.